This 82-nucleotide transfer RNA is filed under the name Paragonimus westermani. RNAcentral describes it as "tRNA-Pro". It matches the Rfam family "tRNA". From Rfam's summary of the family: Transfer RNA (tRNA) molecules are approximately 80 nucleotides in length. Their secondary structure includes four short double-helical elements and three loops (D, anti-codon, and T loops). Further hydrogen bonds mediate the characteristic L-shaped molecular structure. tRNAs have two regions of fundamental functional importance: the anti-codon, which is responsible for specific mRNA codon recognition, and the 3' end, to which the tRNAs corresponding amino acid is attached (by aminoacyl-tRNA synthetases). tRNAs cope with the degeneracy of the genetic code in two manners: having more than one tRNA (with a specific anti-codon) for a particular amino acid; and 'wobble' base-pairing, i.e. permitting non-standard base-pairing at the 3rd anti-codon position. Lineage: Eukaryota; Metazoa; Platyhelminthes; Trematoda; Plagiorchiida; Troglotrematidae. The record is from RNAcentral.
AGGUUUGUAACUCAGCCGGUAGAGUAUUUGCUGCGCUUGGGCAUGCUGUUUCUGUCGCUGGUUCGAAUCCAGCCCAAACUUU